Oncorhynchus tshawytscha (Chinook salmon) is the source of this 2671-nucleotide long non-coding RNA. Lineage: Eukaryota; Metazoa; Chordata; Actinopteri; Salmoniformes; Salmonidae. The record is from Ensembl.
UGGCUGAUUAAAUCACCUUUAUUAAAAGAUACAAGAUGCUGGAAUACCAACACUUUAGAAUGCAGAAGUACUUUACACACAGGCCCAGGCUUGUGUCCAAUAUGGCCCCUUAUUCACUAUAUAGUGCACUACUUUACACACAGGCCCAGGCUUGUGUCCAAUAUGGCCCCUUAUUCACUAUAUAGUGCACUACUUUACACACAGGGCCAGGCUUGUGUCCAAUAUGGCCCCUUAUUCACUAUAUAGUGCACUACUUUACACACAGGGCCAGGCUUGUGUCCAAUAUGGCCCCUUAUUCACUAUAUAGUGCACUACUUUACACACAGGCCCAGGCUUGUGUCCAAUAUGGCCCCUUAUUCACUAUAUAGUGCACUACUUCACACACAGGCCCAGGCUUGUGCCCAACCAAACUCACAUAGAGGCUGUAUCCAAUAUGGCCCCUUAUUCACCAUGUAGUGCACUACUUUAGACCAGAGCCCUAUUCCCUAUAUAGGGCACUACUUUAGACCAGAGCCCUAUUCCAUAUAUAGUGCACUACUUUAGACCAGAGCCCUAUUCCCUAUAUAGUGCACUACUUUAGACCAGAGCCUUAUUCCAUAUAUAGUGCACUACUUUAGACCAGAGCCCUAUUCCCUAGAUAGUGCACUACCUUUAACUACAGCAUUAUUCCAUAUAUAGUGCACUACUUUAGACCAGAGCCCUAUUCCCUAUAUAGUGCACAACAUUAUACUACAGCCCUAUUCCCUAUAUAGUGCACUACUUUAUACUACAGCCCUAUUCCCUAUAUAGUGCACUACUUUUAACCAGAGCCCUGAAUAGACCAGACACCUAAUCAUCUAUAUACAUCUUAAUCUAGCAUUGUGUUUCUCCUAUUAAUCACCCUGUGAAUGACUCUCUAUGGGUCCAGGUUAACACACUAUAAAGGGGAACAGAAUGACUCUCUAUGGGUCCAGGUUAACACACUAUAAAGGGGAACAGAAUGACUCUCUAUGGGUCCAGGUUAACACUCUAUAAAGGGAACAGAAUGACUCUCUAUGGGUCCAGGUUAACACUCUAUAAAGGGGAAUAGAAUUACUCUCUAUGGGUCCAGGUUAACACUAUAUAAAGGGGAACAGAAUGACUCUCUAUGGGUCCAGGUUAACACUCUAUAAAGGGAACAGAAUGACUCUCUAUGGGUCCAGGUUAACACACUAUAAAGGGAACAGAAUGACUCUAUGGGUCCAGGUUAACACUCUAUAAGGGGAACAGAAUGACUCUCUAUGGGUCCAGGUUAACACAUUAUAAAGUGAAUAAGAGUCCAUUUGGAACACAGCUACAGUAGUAAUAACAAAGGUAUUUUUUGAUCAAAAUCCCUGUAAAUAUCUGCGGUAUCCUUGCCAACCCAUUUCAAUCUGCAGGUUGGUUUUUUUCUUUUCAAAAUCACAACGUGACAGUAAACCAGUCUUUAAAGAAAAAAGAGAUCUGAAACCAUGCAACACUCAACAAGCCCACGUUACAGUUACUUCUGGGUUCGCCACCGUUUUGAAUGGCAUCAUCAAUAUCAUCAUCAUCAUCAUCAUCAUCAUCAUCAUCAAUAUCAUCAUCAUCAUCAUCAAUAUCAUGAUCAUCGUCAUCAAUAUCAUGAUCAUCAUCAUCAAUAUCAUCAUCAUCAAUAUCAUGAUCAUCAUCAUCAAUAUUAUCAUCAUCAAUAUCAUGAUCAUCAUCAAUAUCAUCAUCAUCAUCAUCAAUAUCAUGAUCAUUAUCAAUAUCAUGAUCAUCAUCAACAAUAUCAUGAUCAUCAUCAAUAUCAUCAUCAUCAAUAUCAUGAUCAUCAUCAAUAUCAUGAUCAUCAUCAUCAUCAUCAAUAUCAUCAUCAUCAUCAUCAAUAUCAUCAUCAUCAAUAUCAUGAUCAUCAUCAAUAUCAUGAUCAUCAUCAUCAUCAUCAAUAUCAUCAUCAUCAUCAUCAAUAUCAUCAUCAUCAACACUUACAACACCAUAAGACUUCACACAACAGUGACAAGGACGUUUUGACGUUUUUUUUUUUGGGGGAGACAGAAUCGAUCAAAUCUCGAAGACCUCAUCCACUGAGUUUCCAUGACAGGACAAAACGGGUCACGUCGUAGAUAGAACGGGGUUCUCUUCUGUUUCAUUAGUUCGUUACCCGAGUCCAUCGCUGCCUUUAGGCCUCAUGCUUGGUGUUAAAGGGGGACAGUGACCCCGAGCAACAGAUAUACACUACACUUCAGCAAACUAACCACUGGCACCAAACACUAACCUGCUGCUCCCAGAUCAGUGUCUAACCUCCGUGUUGGCACCAAACACUAACCUGCAGCUCCCAGAUCAGUGUCUAACCUCCGUGUUGGCACCAAACACUAACCUGCUGCUCCCAGAUCAGUGUCUAACCUCCGUGUUGGCACCAAACACUAACCUGCAGCUCCCAGAUCAGUGUCUAACCUGCUGCUCCCAGAUCAGUGUCUAACCUGCUGCUCCCAGAUCAGUGUCUAACCUGCUGCUCCCAGAUCAGUGUCUAACCUGCUGCUCCCAGAUCAGUGUCUAACCUGCUGCUCCCAGAUCAGUGUCUAACCUCCGUGUUGGCACCAAACACUAACCUGCAGCUCCCAGAUCAGUGUCUAACCUGCUGCUCCCAGAUCAGUGUCUAACCUGCUGCUCCCAGAUCAGUGUCUAACCUGCU